GCACUGCUGACGAGUCCCAAACAACACGAAACAGCUGUCCAGUGC
RNAcentral lists this non-coding RNA (45 nucleotides) under Echinostoma caproni. The record is from RNAcentral. Lineage: Eukaryota; Metazoa; Platyhelminthes; Trematoda; Plagiorchiida; Echinostomatidae.